AGCAGCCGCGGUAAUUCCAGCUCCAAUAGCGUAUAUUAAAGUUGUUGCAGUUAAAAAGCUCGUAGUUGAAUUUCGGGAUCAAUAUAUCGGUCGUGCCUCCGGUAUGCACUGGUAUUAUUGAUUUCUACCUUCUGACGAAUCAUGAUGUCAUUAAUUUGGUGUCAUGGGGAAUCAGGACUGUUACUUUGAAAAAUUAGAGUGUUUAAAGCAGGCACACGCUUGAAUACAUUAGCAUGGAAUAAUGAAAUAGGACGUUUGACCCUAUUUUGUUGGUUUCUAGGAUCGACGUAAUGAUUAAUAGGGAUAGUUGGGGGCAUUAGUAUUCAAUUGUCAGAGGUGAAAUUCUUGGAUUUAUUGAAGACUAACUACUGCGAAAGCAUUUGCCAAGGAUGUUUUCAUUAAUCAAGAACGAAAGUUAGGGGAUCGAAGACGAUCAGAUACCGUCGUAGUCUUAACCAUAAACUAUGCCGACUAGGGAUCGGAUGAUGUUAAUUUUAAUGUACUCU
Molecule: ribosomal RNA, 506 nt
Filed under: uncultured Glomeromycotina
Lineage: Eukaryota; Fungi; Glomeromycota
Description: SSU rRNA
Rfam family: Eukaryotic small subunit ribosomal RNA
Source: RNAcentral